This 273-nucleotide ribosomal RNA is filed under the name uncultured bacterium. RNAcentral's name for it is "partial 16S ribosomal RNA". It matches the Rfam family "Bacterial small subunit ribosomal RNA", at positions 524 to 796 of the family's 1533-position model. The record is from RNAcentral.
UACGAAGGGAGCUAGCGUUGUUCGGAAUUACUGGGCGUAAAGCGCACGUAGGCGGAUUUGUUAGUCAGGGGUGAAAUCCCGGGGCCCAACCUCGGAACUGCCUUUGAUACUGCAAGUCUGGAGUCCGGAAGAGGUGGGUGGAAUUCCUAGUGUAGAGGUGAAAUUCGUAGAUAUUAGGAAGAACACCGGUGGCGAAGGCGGCCCACUGGUCCGGUACUGACGCUGAGGUGCGAAAGCGUGGGGAGCAAACAGGAUUAGAAACCCCGGUAGUCC